GACGAACGCUGGCGGCGUGCUUAACACAUGCAAGUCGAACGGAAAGGCCCUGCUUUUGUGGGGUGCUCGAGUGGCGAACGGGUGAGUAACACGUGAGUAACCUGCCCUUGACUUUGGGAUAACUUCAGGAAACUGGGGCUAAUACCGGAUAGGAGCUCCUGCUGCAUGGUGGGGGUUGGAAAGUUUCGGCGGUUGGGGAUGGACUCGCGGCUUAUCAGCUUGUUGGUGGGGUAGUGGCUUACCAAGGCUUUGACGGGUAGCCGGCCUGAGAGGGUGACCGGCCACAUUGGGACUGAGAUACGGCCCAGACUCCUACGGGAGGCAGCAGUGGGGAUAUUGCACAAUGGGCGGAAGCCUGAUGCAGCAACGCCGCGUGCGGGAUGACGGCCUUCGGGUUGUAUACCGCUUUCGCCUGUGACGAAGCGUGAGUGACGGUAAUGGGUAAAGAAGCACCGGCUAACUACGUG
This 467-nucleotide ribosomal RNA is filed under the name uncultured bacterium. Its description in RNAcentral is "partial 16S ribosomal RNA". It matches the Rfam family "Bacterial small subunit ribosomal RNA", at positions 28 to 507 of the family's 1533-position model. The record is from RNAcentral.